This 495-nucleotide ribosomal RNA is filed under the name uncultured bacterium. RNAcentral's name for it is "partial 16S ribosomal RNA". It matches the Rfam family "Bacterial small subunit ribosomal RNA", at positions 28 to 523 of the family's 1533-position model. The record is from RNAcentral.
GACGAACGCUGGCGGCGUGCUUAACACAUGCAAGUCGAACGAAGCACUUAAGUCAGAUUCUUCGGAUGAAGACUUUUGUGACUGAGUGGCGGACGGGUGAGUAACGCGUGGGUAACCUGCCUCAUACAGGGGGAUAACAGUUAGAAAUGACUGCUAAUACCGCAUAAGACCACAGCACCGCAUGGUGCAGGGGUAAAAACUCUGGUGGUAUGAGAUGGACCCGCGUCUGAUUAGCUGGUUGGUGGGGUAACGGCCUACCAAGGCGACGAUCAGUAGCCGACCUGAGAGGGUGACCGGCCACAUUGGGACUGAGACACGGCCCAAACUCCUACGGGAGGCAGCAGUGGGGAAUAUUGCACAAUGGGGGAAACCCUGAUGCAGCGACGCCGCGUGAAGGAUGAAGUAUUUCGGUAUGUAAACUUCUAUCAGCAGGGAAGAAAAUGACGGUACCUGACUAAGAAGCCCCGGCUAACUACGUGCCAGCCGCCGCUGUAA